RNAcentral lists this ribosomal RNA (464 nucleotides) under uncultured bacterium. RNAcentral describes it as "partial 16S ribosomal RNA". It matches the Rfam family "Bacterial small subunit ribosomal RNA", at positions 29 to 507 of the family's 1533-position model. The record is from RNAcentral.
ACGAACGCUGGCGGCGUGCUUAACACAUGCCAGUCGAACGGAAAGGCCCUGCUUGCAGGGUACUCGAGUGGCGAACGGGUGAGUAACACGUGGGUGAUCUGCCCUGCACUUCGGGAUAAGCCUGGGAAACUGGGUCUAAUACCGGAUAGGAGCCAUUUUUAGUGUGAUGGUUGGAAAGUUUUUUCGGUGUAGGAUGAGCUCGCGGCCUAUCAGCUUGUUGGUGGGGUAAUGGCCUACCAAGGCGGCGACGGGUAGCCGGCCUGAGAGGGUGGACGGCCACAUUGGGACUGAGAUACGGCCCAGACUCCUACGGGAGGCAGCAGUGGGGAAUAUUGCACAAGGGGCGCAAGCCUGAUGCAGCGACGCCGCGGGGGGGAUGACGGCCUUCGGGUUGUAAACUCCUUUCGCUAGGGACGAAGCUUUUUGUGACGGUACCUAGAGAAGAAGCACCGGCUAACUACGUG